AUGAUGUGCACAGAUGGGCUUUCGGAUGCUGAGAUUGGUAUAUUACACGCCCUUCAUUGGCCUGAUGGCACAAGGAAGAAAUCUUCUGAAGGCAAUGCAGAACAUAGGAAUAUCAGCUUAUUGGUUCAAGCGUUACUAGACAAAUACAAUGAAGAUCAUCAUCUUUUGGGGGAUUUUGCAUAUGAACUUGAUGGUGUUGUUAUCUUCCGAGAAUUUGUUGAGGGGGGGAAAGUGACUAGGUUCUAUCAUAUCAAUCUGGCUACAAAAACCAAAGGAGAAGAUGGUUUGCACAGUGGCGUCAACAAUCUAUUUUUUGCUGAAGUCAGACAAAUUAAAGGAGAAAAUGUAUAUGUACUCAGUUGUUUAUGUAUGGUUAAAGCUACUGACAAUGGCCAAUGCUAUGGUUGCCUGAGUUAUGGAAAUGUUGAUUUGAGGCACCCUGUUGAUACUGAUAAAUACAAAGGUGGGCACGCUGCCUCGCGCUUACCAUGUUGCUGUUUUGAUCUACGGUGUGAUAUUAUCCCUGGCAUAGAUGUACCUGCAUACAUCGAGGACGAGGAGACUAGGCUGGCAGAGGAGGAGGCUAGGUUAAGAUAUAUUCAGUGCCCUGCUCCGGUAAAAUUGGAUGGUGCAAGAGUGCGUGCUGGUUUGGCAAAGGGAGAAGAUGUUGGUUUGACCAAGGGAGAGUGUGGCCAGGGAAGCGCGAAAUAUAUUGUACCUGCUAGGCGUCGCCUGCUGGUUGGAGUACCCCAUCAUCCUUGA
This 762-nucleotide ribosomal RNA is filed under the name Triticum aestivum (bread wheat). Its description in RNAcentral is "partial small subunit ribosomal RNA". Lineage: Eukaryota; Viridiplantae; Streptophyta; Magnoliopsida; Poales; Poaceae. The record is from RNAcentral.